RNAcentral lists this ribosomal RNA (1128 nucleotides) under Psychrobacter maritimus. RNAcentral's name for it is "bacterial SSU rRNA". It matches the Rfam family "Bacterial small subunit ribosomal RNA", at positions 329 to 1451 of the family's 1533-position model. The record is from RNAcentral. Lineage: Bacteria; Pseudomonadati; Pseudomonadota; Gammaproteobacteria; Moraxellales; Moraxellaceae.
GCCCGGACUCCUACGGGAGGCAGCAGUGGGAAUAUUGGACAAUGGGGGCAACCCUGAUCCAGCCAUGCGGGUGUUGAAGAAGGCCUUUUGGUUGUAAAGCACUUUAAGCAGUGAAGAAGACUCCGUGGUUAAUACCCACGGACGAUGACAUUAGCUGCAGAAUAAGCACCGGCUAACUCUGUGCCAGCAGCCGCGGUAAUACAGAGGGUGCAAGCGUUAAUCGGAAUUACUGGGCGUAAAGCGAGCGUAGGUGGCUUGAUAAGUCAGAUGUGAAAUCCCCGGGCUUAACCUGGGAACUGCAUCUGAUACUGUUAGGCUAGAAUAGGUGAGAGGAAGGUAGAAUUCCAGGUGUAGCGGUGAAAUGCGUAGAGAUCUGGAGGAAUACCGAUGGCGAAGGCAGCCUUCUGGCAUCAUAUUGACACUGAGGUUCGAAAGCGUGGGUAGCAAACAGGAUUAGAUACCCUGGUAGUCCACGCCGUAAACGAUGUCUACUAGUCGUUGGGUCCCUUGAGGACUUAGUGACGCAGCUAACGCAAUAAGUAGACCGCCUGGGGAGUACGGCCGCAAGGUUAAAACUCAAAUGAAUUGACGGGGGCCCGCACAAGCGGUGGAGCAUGUGGUUUAAUUCGAUGCAACGCGAAGAACCUUACCUGGUCUUGACAUAUCUAGAAUCCUGCAGAGAUGCGGGAGUGCCUUCGGGAAUUAGAAUACAGGUGCUGCAUGGCUGUCGUCAGCUCGUGUCGUGAGAUGUUGGGUUAAGUCCCGCAACGAGCGCAACCCUUGUCCUUAGUUACCAGCGGGUUAAGCCGGGAACUCUAAGGAUACUGCCAGUGACAAACUGGAGGAAGGCGGGGACGACGUCAAGUCAUCAUGGCCCUUACGACCAGGGCUACACACGUGCUACAAUGGUAGGUACAGAGGGCAGCUACACAGCGAUGUGAUGCGAAUCUCAAAAAGCCUAUCGUAGUCCAGAUUGGAGUCUGCAACUCGACUCCAUGAAGUAGGAAUCGCUAGUAAUCGCGGAUCAGAAUGCCGCGGUGAAUACGUUCCCGGGCCUUGUACACACCGCCCGUCACACCAUGGGAGUUGAUUGCACCAGAAGUGGAAUAGCCUAACCCUCGGGAAGGC